RNAcentral lists this unclassified non-coding RNA (160 nucleotides) under uncultured Capnodiales. RNAcentral describes it as "sequence contains ITS2". The record is from RNAcentral. Lineage: Eukaryota; Fungi; Ascomycota; Dothideomycetes; Capnodiales.
AAUCCAAUCAAGCCUGGCUUGGUAUUGGGCGUCGGGGGUCUCCCGCGCCCCAAUUUCACCGGCUGGCCGUCGCCCGUCUUAGCGUUGUGAUAUAUUUCUCGCUGGCGAUGGGGGCGGUUCACGCCGUUAAAACUCAUGAAUUUCAAUCGAAAUUCGAUUA